GGUAACGAACGCAACCCUUAUCUCGCGUUACAAGUGUCGCGAGAGACUGCCUCGGUAUACGGGGAGGAAGGCGAGGAUGACGCCAAGUCCGCAUGUCCCUCUGAUGCCCUGGGCUACACACGUGCUACAAUGCCCGCCACAAUGGGUCGCGAAGCCGCGAGGCAGAGCUAACCCCAUCAAAAGCGGGCCCAGUUCGGAUUGGAGUCUGCAACCCGACUCCAUGAAGUUGGAAUCGCUAGUAAUCGCAGGUCAGCUAUACUGCGGUGAAUACGUUCUCGAGU
This 281-nucleotide ribosomal RNA is filed under the name Candidatus Giovannonibacteria bacterium RIFCSPLOWO2_01_FULL_48_47. RNAcentral's name for it is "partial 16S ribosomal RNA". It matches the Rfam family "Bacterial small subunit ribosomal RNA", at positions 1088 to 1378 of the family's 1533-position model. The record is from RNAcentral. Lineage: Bacteria; Candidatus Giovannoniibacteriota.